AACAAGCUUUGAUCCGCAGAUCUCCGAAUGGGGGAACCCGGCGCUAGAUUUCGUGUGAGCGCAUUGCAUGCUGCAAUUCAUAGGUAUGCAAGACAAACCCGGUGAACUGAAAUAUCUAAGUAGCUGGAGGAAAGGAAAUCAAAUGAGACUCCGUUAGUAGUGACGAGCGAACGCGGACUAGGUCUGUGGCUUGCGAUUAGAAACUGGAAUACCUUGGAAAAGGUAACCAUAGUGGGUGAUAGUCCCGUACAGGUAAGAAGGUUGUAAGUCCUUGAGUAGGGCGGGGCACGUGAAACCCUGUUUGAAUUUAGGGGGACCAUCCUCUAAACCUAAGUACCUCCUUAGCGACCGAUAGGUGAACAAGUACCGUGAGGGAAAGGUGAAAAAAAAACCCCGGUUAGGGGAGUGAAAAUAUAACCUGCAGGCGAAGUGUCGUACUCAUUUUGUUGGAGCCUAGGGUCCGGGGCUUGCUCCGGAUUCUGG
This 483-nucleotide ribosomal RNA is filed under the name uncultured Anaplasma sp. RNAcentral's name for it is "bacterial LSU rRNA". The stretch from base 1 to 421 matches the Rfam family "Bacterial large subunit ribosomal RNA", at positions 91 to 552 of the family's 2925-position model. The record is from RNAcentral. Lineage: Bacteria; Pseudomonadati; Pseudomonadota; Alphaproteobacteria; Rickettsiales; Anaplasmataceae.